This is a long non-coding RNA of Oncorhynchus keta (chum salmon), 249 nucleotides long. RefSeq lists it as uncharacterized. The transcript is spliced from 2 exons. NCBI's taxonomy places the organism in Eukaryota, Metazoa, Chordata, Actinopteri, Salmoniformes, Salmonidae. The record is from RefSeq and is a predicted model, not a curated record.
CUUCACUUACUACUACUACUACUACUACUACUACUACUACUACUACUACUACUACUGCUACUACAUUCACAACCCACUCAGCAAGGUCUGGCUUUAAUUACUACUACUACUACUACUACUACUACUACUACUACUACUACUACUACUACUACAUUCACAACCCACUCAGCAAGGUCUGGCUUUAAUUACUAUUACUACUACUACUACUACUACUACUACUACUACUACUACUACUACUACUACUACUAC